AUAAAAAGAGAAGUGCAGAGACCAAAAGGGAGGUGAAUUUCUGGGACGUUUGGGCUGGCGUGUGGAGGUAUUCGAGGACUAUUGUGGGGUUUCGGCUAUCUGGCUGUGCAACAGUUAUAUCAGCGAUCGAGUGGAGAUAUUCAGGACAGAAAGAGUGUGAGUUCUGGAAAGCAAGUGGAGAUCAGGCCGCGCCAUCACUAUCGGAGGGAAGUUAAGAGACCUGAUCUGGGACUUCGAUCAAUUGUAUACAUCUGGACUGGGAGUGAUAACGUUGUGAAGUGGACGGAGCCAUCGUUGGAUCGCAGGAUCCUCUGGGCUGAACGCCGCAUGUGAUGUCCCUAUGAAAGGAGAUCGCAGGAUCCUCUGGGCUGAACGCCGCAUGUGAUGUCCCUAUGAAAGGAGGUGGACACAAGAAUUAUUCUUUUCCCGGUUACAACCGAAGCAUCCCCCAGCCGUAAGCCCUAUUACUUAUUCAAGAACACCUACUUACUGUUGAUUACUUACUCCGCUGUGCAGAUCGCAGGAUCCUCUGGGCUGAACGCCGCAUGUGAUGUCCCUAUGAAAGGAGGUGGACACAAGAAUUCUUCUUUUCCCGGUUACAACCGAAGCAUCUCCCAGCCGUAAGCCCCA
This is a long non-coding RNA of Cyprinus carpio (common carp), 630 nucleotides long. RefSeq lists it as uncharacterized. The transcript has 3 exons. The record is from RefSeq and is a predicted model, not a curated record. Lineage: Eukaryota; Metazoa; Chordata; Actinopteri; Cypriniformes; Cyprinidae.